Molecule: ribosomal RNA, 736 nt
Filed under: Pseudomonas monteilii
Lineage: Bacteria; Pseudomonadati; Pseudomonadota; Gammaproteobacteria; Pseudomonadales; Pseudomonadaceae
Description: bacterial SSU rRNA
Rfam family: Bacterial small subunit ribosomal RNA
Source: RNAcentral
CGGAUUGUAAAGCCACUUUAAGUUGGGAGGAAGGGCCAGUAAGUUAAUACCUUGCUUGUUUUGACGUUACCGACAGAAAUAAGCACCGCCUAACUAUGUGCCAGCAGCCGCAGUAAUACAGAGGGUGCAAGCGUUAAUCGGAAUUACUGGGCGUAAAGCGCGGCGUAGGUGGUUCGUUAAGUUGGAUGUGAAAAGCCCCGGGCUCAACCUGGGAACUGCAUCCCAAAACUGGCGAAGCUAGAGUACGGUAGAGGGUGGUUGAAAUUUCCUGUGUAGCGGUGAAAUGCGUAGAUAUAGGAAAGGAACACCAGUGGCGAAAGGCGACCACCUGGACUGAUACUGACACUGAGGUGCGAAAGCGUGGGGGAGCAAACAGGAUUAGAUACCCUGGUAGGUCCACGCCGUAAACGAUGUCAACUAGCCGUUGGGAAUCCUUGAGAUUUUAGUGGCGGCAGCUAACCGCAUUAAGUUGACCGCCUGGGGAGGACGGACGCAAGGUCAAAACUAAAACUCAAAUGACAGGGGACCGCACAAGCGCACAAGCAGGUGGAAGAAUGUCGAAGAAACGCGAAGCAACCCGACCAGGACCUUAACAGGGCAGAGAACUAUCCAGAGAUGCAUUGCAAGACAUCGGGAACGCUGACACAGGAACUGCAUGGCUGACGACAGCGCGUGUCAUGAGCAUGUCGGCCAAACUCCCGUAACGAGAGAAACCCGGGCCCUAAGUUACCAGCAC